This 1038-nucleotide ribosomal RNA is filed under the name uncultured archaeon. RNAcentral's name for it is "bacterial SSU rRNA". It matches the Rfam family "Archaeal small subunit ribosomal RNA", at positions 315 to 1354 of the family's 1478-position model. The record is from RNAcentral.
UCCAGGCCCUACGGGGCGCAGCAGGCGCGAAACCUCCGCAAUGCGGGCAACCGCGACGGGGGGACCCCCAGUGCCGUGGCACAGCCACGGCUUUUCCGGAGUGUAAAAAGCUCCGGGAAUAAGGGCUGGGCAAGGCCGGUGGCAGCCGCCGCGGUAAUACCGGCGGCCCAAGUGGUGGCCGCUAUUAUUGGGCCUAAAGCGUCCGUAGCCGGGCCCGUAAGUCCCUGGCGAAAUCCCACGGCUCAACCGUGGGGCUUGCUGGGGAUACUGCGGGCCUUGGGACCGGGAGAGGCCGGGGGUACCCCUGGGGUAGGGGUGAAAUCCUAUAAUCCCAGGGGGACCGCCAGUGGCGAAGGCGCCCGGCUGGAACGGGUCCGACGGUGAGGGACGAAGGCCAGGGGAGCGAACCGGAUUAGAUACCCGGGUAGUCCUGGCUGUAAAGGAUGCGGGCUAGGUGUCGGGCGAGCUUCGAGCUCGCCCGGUGCCGGAGGGAAGCCGUUAAGCCCGCCGCCUGGGGAGUACGGCCGCAAGGCUGAAACUUAAAGGAAUUGGCGGGGGAGCACUACAAGGGGUGGAGCGUGCGGUUUAAUUGGAUUCAACGCCGGGAACCUCACCGGGGGCGACGGCAGGAUGAAGGCCAGGCUGAAGGUCUUGCCGGACGCGCCGAGAGGAGGUGCAUGGCCGCCGUCAGCUCGUACCGUGAGGCGUCCACUUAAGUGUGGUAACGAGCGAGACCCGCGCCCCCAGUUGCCAGUCCUCCCCGCUGGGGAGGAGGCACUCUGGGGGGACCGCCGGCGAUAAGCCGGAGGAAGGAGCGGGCGACGGUAGGUCAGUAUGCCCCGAAACCCCCGGGCUACACGCGCGCUACAAUGGGCGGGACAAUGGGAACCGACCCCGAAAGGGGAAGGGAAUCCCCUAAACCCGCCCUCAGUUCGGAUCGCGGGCUGCAACUCGCCCGCGUGAAGCUGGAAUCCCUAGUACCCGCGUGUCAUCAUCGCGCGGCGAAUACGUCCCUGCUCCUUGCACUCACCGCCCGUC